RNAcentral lists this long non-coding RNA (5089 nucleotides) under Gallus gallus (chicken). RNAcentral describes it as "lncRNA (ENSGALG00010012298.1)". Lineage: Eukaryota; Metazoa; Chordata; Aves; Galliformes; Phasianidae. The record is from RNAcentral.
UGAAGAAGAUGUGUAUGGAUUCUAUGCUUCUUUGUACCUCGGCACUUCAGCUGGCAGGUCCCUCACUCUGGUUCUGCUUUCCAGGGGUAUUGCCUAUAGGAGAUUAAAACUUGCCUCCAGAGUCUCACUGGAAUUCUUGAACCCAAUGUUUCUUCUCUUGCUUUGUUACUGUUUCUUGUUCCUGUCAACUCUCAUUGUGAAUGCAUUAAACAGAAAGUUGCUCUCAAAUUCUGAAACUCCUUGUACAAUUAGCAUAGAGACAUGAUUUUAUUCAUGCAAUUACAUUUCUACAGGUCCAAAAUCUCCAUAGUGCCAUAUGGUCUGGUAUACCAAACAUUUAAUGUAAAACACUAUCCCCUGAUAUCCAGCCUUCCGGUUUCUUUCUAAGCAGUAUGAUAGCAUUCUCAGUAUUUCAAAAAGACUUCUGCUUCAGAGGCUGUUUUCUGAAGUUGCAUGAAAUUUUGUGUCUUUGAUAUCUCCCUCCUUGCUUCUUGUAUAAACACUUUAAUGCUAACUCAACUGUUCUUUCCGUAAAGCUUUCCAGCCUAAGAAAGUACAGUGGAUAUCCCUAAGGUAUCCAGGGUUUUUUCAAGACAUCUGUUGUUUUAUUUUCCUUCAGAGAGCCUUUGGCUGUAGUUAGAGAUGUGGGACAGUUAAACACUUUGCAUAAGUACAUGCAAAUACUUCCUGUCAUAAAAUCAAGAAAGAUGUUCUAAACCCUGGAAACAUUACCCAAAUGAUCAUGACAUUAGCAAUUAAUAAUUGUAUGUUCCAUGCAAAAAUACUUAAAAACCUCUAAACUACACUGGACAGCUGAUAUGACAGAAUUGUUGCAUAAAAACAAAAGCCAAACAGAUAGACACUUCUGUACUUUUGUAUUGUCUCAACUACAAUGUCCAGACUAUGGAAUCUGAUUCACUGAAAUUUGAUAGACUAUUCUGGUUUAUGAUUUGUGAAAAGCGUGCUUGUACCCUUUCCCUCCCCAUUUGCUGCAUACUUUUCAAUUUUACAAUCCUUUCUUUGUUUUUGCAAAUGUCAUUUGUCAGUGUGUUCACCAGACUUGGAGUAGACUGAAUGAUAUUAAGCAGCAUCACUUAGAGCUGAAAGUGUUCUCUGGCUUUAAUAUGCCUGGUGGUUAGUGAAUAUGUAACACCUACCUCACACCACUGGGUGGGCUGCUUCUUGUGCCAUUGCUGCUCAGUCAGUCAACCUGCAGAGAGUAAUCAAGGCUGAAGUGGCAGUGGAAAAGAUCUUGCCUGUGGAAGGAAAGGAAGGAAGUGAAGAUUCUUCCCUUCCCACCUCUGCAAUGAGAGAUGGCAAUCCUUCCUAGAUAUGGCAGGCUGGAAGAUAUUGGAUCAUAAAAUCAUGACACUGGAAAGCAAUCCAGCGCUGUCUUCCAGUUAAUAACCACACUUGUGUUUACAAGACAACUGCUUUUACAAAACUGAAGAUCAUCAGAUGGGAACACUAACAACUUCAAUUUUAAAGUCCACUUCUGACCUAACAAGAAGCGUGGGAUACUUCAUUACAGAGGAUAUUCUACUGAAAUAUGAAACACACAUGAAAUCAUGAGCACUUAAGGAAAGUGCUCUUGUGGCCACAGCUAUCAUAUGAUAUUAAAACUGCAGCAUGACAGUAGUUGUUGUAAAUAAAUACAUAUUACAAUAAGUAAAAAAAAUGCAAUUACAAUUUCACAAUAUUUAUUUCUGUGAUCAAAUUUACAUACGAACUGCAAAGUAUGAGAAAUAUGAACCUUUGCAUAUACUCCCACAGACUGUGUAGAUAUAUCCACACAUUUAUGUGUACAGAUAUUAUAUUAAAAGACUGUUACACUUAUAAAAUAUUUUAGAGAAUAAUUUAUGUGGACAGGUUUAGAUAUUCAUUCUUACUCAGAAUGAUAAGCAAGCAGGCUGAAUAUAUUUGAAAAUGUAGUAAAUCAAGUUUUGGUCUUGCUAACACUAAUACACAUUCAUUUAGAUAAAUCUGAUGAGAAUUUUACCCAACCAAUAUAUCUUUAAAAGCUAAUCAAGUGAAUCUCUUUAAUAGCAUCAAGCCUCAUUUGGAAAGUUCACAAUCCAUAAUUAGCUGCUUCUUUGAAAAUGUUUGCUAAAAUUGUAGUUUUGGAACAGAUUACAGUUCAAAUCUUACAUGUGCAUGAAAUAAUUCAUUUGCCCAAACACCCCAAUUUUAGACAUUACUUGCAAAUGAAAAUUACAUCCCACAUGAUUUUAGUAUUAGCUUUUAUAUGAGCACUAAAUAUAAAAUGGUAGUCUGACCUUUAAGAAAAACUGUAUCUAAUAACAAAAUUAAAGAACAGGUUUAAAGAUUUGGUCACUAGUCUUUAUAAAAGGGAAAAAAGAAAACAAAAUCCCUUGCAGUCACAUUCUAUCAUUCUCUUUCAACUAUUCUUUUAGGUUUCUUUCCACUAUAUUUAAUUUUAUUUCAUUAUAUGCAGGAAGGCUAAUAACCAACCAUUUUGAUUCUGUUCAUUUAUUUUCCCCCAUUUAGACCAUUUUUCUUACCCUGAUUCAUUUUGUAACCAAAUUCAUUUUAAUUUAAUUUGUUUCAUUAAAGCUAAGGUUUUCCAAUUUUUGAAAUGUAAGAGAGACUAAACAGAGUUACUUUAUCUUGCUAGGUCCAAAGGUCUUGCAGAAUACUCAGAUUUCAAUAGUAGUAUGUAAAUAGCAUGUAUUUUUUUUCUCUUGUGGAAAAAGGUGAAUUGGAUUAUUCCAUCAAAUUUUACAUUUUCUAACAAUACUGAUCUUUUCAAAAUCCUGUUUCCGUAAGUGUCAUUUUCCCCUAUGCUCCAGAGAACUGUCAAAAAAUUAUGGGAAACAAAACCAAAACACUUCUUUCACCAGAAAAUUUUCAUAAAGAAAAUAUCAGAAUGAGAUUGAAGUUCUGAAUCAACAUAUUUCAGGGUUUUACUUAUUUUCUUCUUAUUUGGAUGUGAGUAAUGACGUAGAGAUAGAGAAUUUAUUAUUCUGUCUUACCUGGACAAGUUGUCCCUUGAGUAUUUUUUUAUGUUGUCUAUGUUAUAUGACACAUUAAUAUUUCACUACAUCGCCAUCUUCAUUCUUCUCGGAAGCUCAGAGGAAGAGAAAAGAAGCACUCUCAUUUCUCUUCUCCUUUUCUGCAGACAUUUCUGCAGAUAUAGGCUUGAUAUUUUAGCAACGAGGACCUUAACUUUGCUUCUGAUGACUGCUGGCAAAAGACCCUAGAUAAACAUGCAUAAUAGUCAGCCAGACAGAAAAAUAACCACUGUGGGCAACAAAAUAAUAGGCGGAACAAAAAAAGGAUUGGGGUUAGCCAUAGCUCUGGUCAUCUGCCUGCUACAUGCAUUGGUAUCUUAAAUGCCCAAAAAAGGUGGUGUCAAAAUUUUAAUUUAGAUUAAGAACAUGACUUAGUAAGUGUAACAGAUUUAGAGAAAUGAUUCACAUGAAAAGGAUGUAACAUCGAAUGCUGCAAACUAUUGGGGAAGGAUAGUGUUAAAAGAGAGAAGUUAUUCCCCACUGUAUCAAGGAUGUGAUUUCAUUCUGAAGUCCAGUGUGCAGAGGAAUUUAGAAGUGAAGAAAGCCUGAGUAAUAACAAAAAGAAGGCACUAAUACAGCUGGCAAUGUGCUGGGGAUCUACUAUAAACCUUGGAACAGGAAUUAGCUGAAUAAGGCUUACUGGUUCUUUCCAACACAGCAUAGUAGUGUUAAUUAAGAAACUGCAUCUUUGGGUUGUGUAACUACAGAACCAGUCUCAAGAUAAAUAGAUACCUUAUUUAUUUAGCUCUCUAUGUUGUUAAAUUAUUUAAUGAACCUUAUUAUUGGUGUUAGAUGAAUAUGAAUUAAUAUACAUUGUAUUCUUGUGACUUUAUAAAUGUGGCAUAUGUUCAAAGCAUGUUCAAUCUAAAGCAUUGCUUCUUUUAGGGCAGCAGACCCCAGUAUGUGGAUGACUGACUUACAUUUAUUUACUAAAUCUACUAGAUAGGGAUUUUUCUUGCCUUAAUACUGAAGUACACAACUCCCAUUUCCCUGACAAACAGUCUCUGAUACUUCAAAAACCUUAGGACUGCCUGACUCAUUCUCUUCUUGUUAAAAGAGACUUAACUACAGAGGCAUCUGCCAGAAGACAAAAUAAGGAAUAGAAUCUAUCUAGCAAGUUCUUGUUACUCAUCAGUGGCAACUUGAUAUUAAAAAACAAACAAACAAAAACAAAAGAAAAAACAGAGAAAAACAAUCUAGUUGAAAAGAGCUGGUUUAGGACAUGAAGGUGAGGGCAAGACAGACAGAGGUGAGACCCUUGGAUAGGAGAUAAAAAAAUAAUAGAACAGCAGAUAUCAUCAAGGAACAUCCAGAGAAUGCAAAUGAAAAUAAUCUCCUUCAAAGAUAAAAGAUAUGGAACAAAUGGUCAUACUGUUGAAUAGAUUACAAAACUGAACAAGCAUCAAGAAGGUGAUGCUAUAAUAAACAAACAAAUAAAUAAGGAGUACUGUCUGUGGAAAACAUAAAAUAAUGCGUAGGGUUUACUACAGAAGAUUCUAAGACAUUGGUCAGUCAUAUAUAAGAAUACCGUGUUCAGCCUGGGGAAUCCCAGUUUGGGAGAGGCAUAGAUUGAAGAGAAAAAUAAGAGGAGGAAUAGAGGAAUAAGAAUGAAGACAUGCAGAAAAAGUGUAAUCUCAGAUGAGAGACCAAAAAAACCAAUAAAAAUAAACUUGAUCUAACUUGAUCUACAUAGGAAUAGACUGAAGGGAAUCAGGAAAAGCCAUCAUAACAGCUUUCAUCAUAAAAACUCCUCCAAAGAAAAAGUGUUACCUGUGGCCUUCCUGAAUGGUCCUUUAGAGAUAUGAGCUUUUCCAUGUCUAUGACAGAUAUAACAGGAUUAAAGUAUAGCAAAGGUAAUUCAGAUUACAUAAAUAAAAAGUCAUCAUAGCAGUAAAACCCUUGCAUUCAUUUCUUGGAAAUAUCAUAACAAUGCUAGAGGAAUACACCUGAAAUGAAAGAGAUAUAUUUGGUCUGAUUUUGGUAUAGAGAAUGAAUAAUGGUACUGUUUAAGCUAUUCUAAGAUUUCUAUGUCUGUGAUUUUUCUGGAUUGAUUAAGG